RNAcentral lists this ribosomal RNA (497 nucleotides) under uncultured bacterium. RNAcentral describes it as "partial 16S ribosomal RNA". It matches the Rfam family "Bacterial small subunit ribosomal RNA", at positions 28 to 507 of the family's 1533-position model. The record is from RNAcentral.
GAUGAACGCUGGCGGCGUGCCUAAUACAUGCCAGUCGAGCGAACGGACGAGAAGCUUGCUUUUCUGAUGUUAGCGGCGGACGGGUGAGUAACACGUGGAUAACCUACCUAUAAGACUGGGAUAACUUCGGGAAACCGGAGCUAAUACCGGAUAAUAUUUUGAACCGCAUGGUUCAAAAGUGAAAGACGGUCUUGCUGUCACUUAUAGAUGGAUCCGCGCUGCAUUAGCUAGUUGGUAAGGUAACGGCUUACCAAGGCAACGAUGCAUAGCCGACCUGAGAGGGUGAUCGGCCACACUGGAACUGAGACACGGUCCAGACUCCUACGGGAGGCAGCAGUAGGGAAUCUUCCGCAAUGGGCGAAAGCCUGACGGAGCAACGCCGCGUGAGUGAUGAAGGUCUUCGGAUCGUAAAACUCUGUUAUUAGGGAAGAACAUAUGUGUAAGUAACUGUGCACAUCUUGACAGUACCUAAUCAGAAAGCCACGGCUAACUACGUG